CUCAGCCCCUCCCACUCGCAAUGAUUUUUUUUUACCCUAUUGCCCAGCUCUAGUUUAAACUUAGGAUUCGUUUAUCAUACUGUGAAGAUAAAUAAGAAUCUGACAUUUUUCUCACCCUCUGUUUACUUCAGGAGCCCCUGAAUACCGAUGACAGAAACUGCAUCAUGAAUUGAUUUCAGAUUCCUAAACGAGAUCUCUUCAGCUCGGUACAUUAACAUUAACAUUAACCGGUGCUGAGAACCAGCAAAGUAAAACACAUUCAGUCUCUGUGGGACGUUUUGUCCUUAAGACAAUCAUCGCUACUCACUGAGAUGAAUCAGAAUCCAUUCUUCAUGAUUGAGGAUCAAAGUUUUCAUGAUGUUUUCACAGAAGAGCAAAAGAUGAAGAAGAAAAAAAUUCUAGCUCAUCUCAUGAACAUCGAUGUCCUCAUCACUGAGCUCCACUAUGUGAUCAUGAACAUCAAGCUCAAAGAAAUCGGUCCAGACUGGCCAAUCUAUGAGACCUUUAAAGCCUUUGUUGAUGUCAACGAGAUUGACACUAAGGCAGUGGAGUGUCUGGAGGAUCUUCAGGACCUGAACAUGACCCAUGGCAUUGCUCUGUGGAAACUAGCUGUGCAGAUAAAGAAGGGUGUAAAAGGCACUCUCUACAAGUGAUUAUGAAUGAUAUGAGCACAAUUAUCCAUAUUCAUUUCCACAUCAAUGAACAUGGCUCUGCCAUUUGGUUCAACUUUGACUGCACAGCAGGUGGUAGCACAUCAGAAAAUGCGUGACCUGAACUAGGGCUGCAACUAAUGAAUAUUUUAGUAGUCGACUAAUCUGAUGAUUAUUUUUUCAAUUAGUUGUUUGCAGCAGAUUGAACACAAACGCUUAAACUGGGAACGUAUUUAUUUACUGUAACAGUAGAUUAACCCUUAUUAAUAAACAGAAAUAAAAUUAAUCUGAGGAGAAUCUU
This 951-nucleotide long non-coding RNA is filed under the name Astyanax mexicanus (Mexican tetra). RNAcentral describes it as "lncRNA (ENSAMXG00005003114.1)". Lineage: Eukaryota; Metazoa; Chordata; Actinopteri; Characiformes; Acestrorhamphidae. The record is from RNAcentral.